RNAcentral lists this ribosomal RNA (255 nucleotides) under uncultured bacterium. RNAcentral describes it as "partial 16S ribosomal RNA". It matches the Rfam family "Bacterial small subunit ribosomal RNA", at positions 1247 to 1500 of the family's 1533-position model. The record is from RNAcentral.
AGGCAAAGCCGCGAGGUGGAGCAAAACCCUAAAAAACGGUACUCAGUUCAGAUUGCAGGCUGCAACCCGCCUGCAUGAAGUCGGAAUUGCUAGUAAUCGCGGAUCAGCAUGCCGCGGUGAAUACGUUCCCGGGCCUUGUACACACCGCCCGUCACACCAUGGGAGCCGGUAAUACCCGAAGUCAAUGGUCUAACCGCAAGGAGGACGUUGCCGAAGGUAGGAUUGGCGACUGGGGUGAAGUCGUAACAAGGUACC